UCGUAACAAGGUCUCCGUUGGUGAACCAGCGGAGGGAUCAUUACCGAGUUUUCAACUCCCAAACCCUUAUGUGAACCUACCUAUCGUUGCUUCGGCGGACUCGCCCCAGCCGGACGCGGACUGGACCAGCGGCCGCCGGGGACCAUCAAACUCUUGUAUUAUCAGCAUCUUCUGAAUACGCCGCAAGGCAAAACAAAUAAAUUAAAACUUUCAACAACGGAUCUCUUGGCUCUGGCAUCGAUGAAGAACGCAGCGAAAUGCGAUAAGUAAUGUGAAUUGCAGAAUCCAGUGAAUCAUCGAAUCUUUGAACGCACAUUGCGCCCGCCAGCAUUCUGGCGGGCAUGCCUGUUCGAGCGUCAUUUCAACCCUCGACCUCCCUUUGGGGAAGUCGGCGUUGGGGACCGGCAGCACACCGCCGGCCCUGAAAUGGAGUGGCGGCCCGUCCGCGGCGACCUCUGCGUAGUAAACCAACUCGCACCGGAACCCCGACGUGGCCACGCCGUAAAACACCCAACUUCUGAACGUUGACCUCGAAUCAGGUAGGACUACCCGCUGAACUUAAGCAUAUCAAUAA
This 574-nucleotide unclassified non-coding RNA is filed under the name Beauveria pseudobassiana. Its description in RNAcentral is "sequence contains 18S rRNA gene, ITS1, 5.8S rRNA gene, ITS2, 28S rRNA gene". The stretch from base 206 to 359 matches the Rfam family "5.8S ribosomal RNA". Lineage: Eukaryota; Fungi; Ascomycota; Sordariomycetes; Hypocreales; Cordycipitaceae. The record is from RNAcentral.